Molecule: long non-coding RNA, 235 nt
Filed under: Elaeis guineensis (African oil palm)
Lineage: Eukaryota; Viridiplantae; Streptophyta; Magnoliopsida; Arecales; Arecaceae
Description: long non-coding RNA (EGUI_LNC009034)
Source: RNAcentral
GAGGUUAAAUGAUAGUAAUAGCUAGUUGAACUGUCAUGACAUGCCAUGGAAGAUAAACUAAUCUGCAUCUAAAAGAAAUUGGUUAAAUCAAGUAGUUAUUGGAGACAUAGGGCAAGUUAUGAAGGCCUUAAGUAUGGGCUAAUUAUGAAUUAGGACUGUUAGAUAAUGUGAAAACAAAGGCCAAUUAAGUUUUGUACUUUGUGUGGUUCAAACUAUUAGCCAAAUAUGAGGUGAA